RNAcentral lists this ribosomal RNA (252 nucleotides) under uncultured bacterium. RNAcentral describes it as "partial 16S ribosomal RNA". It matches the Rfam family "Bacterial small subunit ribosomal RNA", at positions 524 to 776 of the family's 1533-position model. The record is from RNAcentral.
UACGGAGGAUCCAAGCGUUAUCCGGAUUUAUUGGGUUUAAAGGGUGCGUAGGCGGCCUAUUAAGUCAGAGGUGAAAGACGGUAGCUCAACUAUCGCAGUGCCUUUGAUACUGAUGGGCUUGAAUGAACUAGAGGUAGGCGGAAUGAGACAAGUAGCGGUGAAAUGCAUAGAUAUGUCUCAGAACACCGAUUGCGAAGGCAGCUUACUAUGGUUUAUUGACGCUGAGGCACGAAAGCGUGGGGAUCAAACAGG